Molecule: ribosomal RNA, 378 nt
Filed under: uncultured bacterium
Lineage: Bacteria
Description: bacterial SSU rRNA
Rfam family: Bacterial small subunit ribosomal RNA
Source: RNAcentral
UAUUGGACAAUGGGCGAAAGCCUGAUCCAGCAAUGCCGCGUGAGUGAUGAAGGCCUUAGGGUUGUAAAGCUCUUUUACCCGGGAUGAUAAUGACAGUACCGGGAGAAUAAGCUCCGGCUAACUCCGUGCCAGCAGCCGCGGUAAUACGGAGGGAGCUAGCGUUGUUCGGAAUUACUGGGCGUAAAGCGCACGUAGGCGGCUUUGUAAGUUAGAGGUGAAAGCCUGGAGCUCAACUCCAGAAUUGCCUUUGAUACUGCAUCGCUUGAAUCCAAGAGAGGUGAGUGGAAUUCCGAGUGUAGAGGUGAAAUUCGUAGAUAUUCGGAAGAACACCAGUGGCGAAGGCGGCUCACUGGACUGGUAUUGACGCUGAGGUGCGAG